CGGUUGAUCCUGCCGGAGGUUACUGCUAUCGAGGUUCGACUAAGCCAUGCGAGUCGAAUGUAGCAAUACAUGGCGUACUGCUCAGUAACACGUGGACAACCUACCCUUGGGACGGGGAUAAACCCGGGAAACUGGGUAUAAUACCCGAUAGAUCUCGACUGCUGGAAUGCAUCGAGUUCGAAAGCUCCGGCGCCCAAGGAUGGGUCUGCGGCCUAUCAGGUAGUAGUGGGUGUAGCGUACCUACUAGCCUACGACGGGUACGGGUUGUGAGAGCAAGAGCCCGGAGAUGGAUUCUGAGACACGAAUCCAGGCCCUACGGGGUGCAGCAGGCGCGAAAACUUUACAAUGCUGGAAACAGCGAUAAGGGAACCUCGAGUGCCAGGUUACAAAUCUGGCUGUCGUGAUGCCUAAAAAGCAUUGCAUAGCAAGGGCCGGGCAAGACCGGUGCCAGCCGCCGCGGUAACACCGGCGGCUCGAGUGGUAACCGUUAUUAUUGGGUCUAAAGGGUCUGUAGCCGGCCGGAUAAGUCUCUUGGGAAAUCUGGCAGCUUAACUGUCAGGCUUUCAGGGGAUACUGUCUGGCUCGAGGCCGGGAGAGGUGAGAGGUACUUCAGGGGUAGGGGUGAAAUCUUGUAAUCCUUGAAGGACCACCAGUGGCGAAGGCGUCUCACCAGAACGGACCUGACGGCAAGGGACGAAAGCUAGGGGCACGAACCGGAUUAGAUACCCGGGUAGUCCUAGCCGUAAACGAUACUCGCUAGGUGUCGGCCACGGUGCGACCGUGGUCGGUGCCGUAGGGAAGCCGUGAAGCGAGCCACCUGGGAAGUACGGCCGCAAGGCUGAAACUUAAAGGAAUUGGCGGGGGAGCACCACAACGGGUGGAGCUUGCGGUUUAAUUGGAUUCAACGCCGG
This 911-nucleotide ribosomal RNA is filed under the name uncultured archaeon. RNAcentral's name for it is "bacterial SSU rRNA". It matches the Rfam family "Archaeal small subunit ribosomal RNA", at positions 5 to 921 of the family's 1478-position model. The record is from RNAcentral.